RNAcentral lists this ribosomal RNA (419 nucleotides) under bacterium. Its description in RNAcentral is "partial 16S ribosomal RNA". It matches the Rfam family "Bacterial small subunit ribosomal RNA", at positions 355 to 776 of the family's 1533-position model. The record is from RNAcentral.
UGGGGGAUAUUGCACAAUGGGCGAAAGCCUGAUGCAGCGACGCCGCGUGGGGGAUGAAGGCCUUCGGGUUGUAAACUUCUUUUGCUCUGAACAAGGCAUGCUAAUGGGUGUGUUGAGUGUAGGGGUUGAUUAGCGCCGGCUAACUACGUGCCAGCAGCCGCGGUAAUACGUAGGGCGCGAGCGUUGUCCGGAAUUAUUGGGCGUAAAGGGCUUCUAGGUGGCUGGUUGCGUCUGUCGUGAAAGCUCAUGGCUUAACUGUGGGUUUGCGGUGGGUACGGGCUGGCUUGAGUGCAGUAGGGGAGGGUGGAAUUCCUGGUGUAGCGGUGGAAUGCGCAGAUAUCAGGAGGAAUACCGGUGGCGAAGGCGGGUCUCUGGGCUGUGACUGACACUGAGGAGCGAAAGCAUGGGGAGCGAACAGG